RNAcentral lists this unclassified non-coding RNA (338 nucleotides) under soil metagenome. Its description in RNAcentral is "partial contains 5.8S ribosomal RNA, internal transcribed spacer 2, and large subunit ribosomal RNA". The stretch from base 1 to 120 matches the Rfam family "5.8S ribosomal RNA", at positions 35 to 154 of the family's 154-position model. The record is from RNAcentral.
GAUGAAGAACGUAGCGAAAUGCGAUAAGUAAUGUGAAUUGCAGAAUUCCGUGAAUCAUCGAAUCUUUGAACGCACAUUGCGCCCCCUGGUAUUCCGGGGGGCAUGCCUGUCCGAGCGUCAUUGCAACCCUCAAGCGCGGCUUGUGUGUUGGGCUUCGUCCCCCCGUGGACGUGCCCGAAAGGCAGUGGCGGCGUCCCGAAUGGUGCCCGAGCGUAUGGGAACUCUCUUCCGCUCGAACCGGCCCAUUCGGCGCUGGUCGAACCCCAAUUUUUUUUUACCGGUUGACCUCGGAUCAGGUAGGGAUACCCGCUGAACUUAAGCAUAUCAAUAAGCGGGGA